AAAUCCAUCUGCAAGCAUCUUGAAGAAAAUGCAGUGAUUAAUGGAAGCCAGCAUGGAUUUAUCAAAAAUCCUGUCAGACUAAUUUAAUCUCAUUUUUUGACUGGGUAACCUUCCAAUUGGACAAAGAGAACACUGUGGACCUAAUCUAUCUAUACUUUAGCAAAGCUUUCAACAUAGUGCCACACGACAUUCUGAUAAGCAACUUAGCAAAAACUGGACUAGAUGGAAAAACCAUUAGGUGGAUCCAAAAAUGACUGCUAAAUGGGACACAAAGAGUUCUCAUCAAUGGCACCUUCUCAAUUUGGAUGGAGUGGGGUCAUGAUAACCCUCUAUAAGUACCUCAAAGGCUGUCACAAAGAGGA
This is a long non-coding RNA of Varanus komodoensis (Komodo dragon), 362 nucleotides long. RefSeq lists it as uncharacterized. The record is from RefSeq and is a predicted model, not a curated record. The transcript is spliced from 3 exons. Lineage: Eukaryota; Metazoa; Chordata; Lepidosauria; Squamata; Varanidae.